RNAcentral lists this non-coding RNA (30 nucleotides) under Mus musculus (house mouse). Lineage: Eukaryota; Metazoa; Chordata; Mammalia; Rodentia; Muridae. The record is from RNAcentral.
UAGUCAUUUUCUACUCUGUACAUAGUGCUA